Molecule: ribosomal RNA, 499 nt
Filed under: uncultured bacterium
Lineage: Bacteria
Description: partial 16S ribosomal RNA
Rfam family: Bacterial small subunit ribosomal RNA
Source: RNAcentral
GAUGAACGCUAGCGGCAGGCCUAAUACAUGCAAGACGAACGGCAAGAAUUGUAGCAAUACGGUUCCUAGAGUGUCGCACGGGUGCGUAACACGUAUGCAACCUACCUUGUACAGGAGUAUAGCUCGGGGAAACUCGAAUUAACCCUCCAUAAUAUAAUCGGAUGGCAUCAUUUGAUUAUUAAAACUUCGGUGGUACAAGAUGGGCAUGCGUUUGAUUAGCUAGUUGGCGGGGUAAAGGCCCACCAAGGCGAUGAUCAAUAGGGGAACUGAGAGGUUGAUCCCCCACACUGGCACUGAGAUACGGGCCAGACUCCUACGGGAGGCAGCAGUAGGGAAUAUUGGUCAAUGGAUGGAAGUCUGAACCAGCCAUGCCGCGUGCAGGAAGAAGGCCUUCUGGGUUGUAAACUGCUUUUGCCAGGGGAUAAAAAUUCUUUGCGAAGAAAAUUGAAGGUACCUGGUGAAUAAGCACCGGCUAACUACGUGCCAGCCGCCGCAGUAA